Molecule: ribosomal RNA, 446 nt
Filed under: uncultured bacterium
Lineage: Bacteria
Description: partial 16S ribosomal RNA
Rfam family: Bacterial small subunit ribosomal RNA
Source: RNAcentral
UACCAGACUCCUACGGGAGGCAGCAGUGGGGGAUAUUGCACAAUGGGGGGAACCCUGAUGCAGUGACGCCGCGUGAAGGAAGAAGUAUCUCGGUAUGUAAACUUCUAUCAGCAGGGAAGAAAAUGACGGUACCUGACUAAGAAGCCCCGGCUAACUACGUGCCAGCAGCCGCGGUAAUACGUAGGGGGCAAGCGUUAUCCGGAUUUACUGGGUGUAAAGGGAGCGUAGACGGUGAAGCAAGUCUGAAGUGAAAGGCGGGGGCUCAACCCCCGGACUGCUUUGGAAACUGUUUGACUGGAGUGCAGGAGAGGUAAGUGGAAUUCCUAGUGUAGCGGUGAAAUGCGUAGAUAUUAGGAGGAACACCAGUGGCGAAGGCGGCUUACUGGACUGUAACUGACGUUGAGGCUCGAAAGCGUGGGGAGCAAACAGGAUUAGAUACCCGCGUA